Molecule: long non-coding RNA, 900 nt
Filed under: Homo sapiens (human)
Lineage: Eukaryota; Metazoa; Chordata; Mammalia; Primates; Hominidae
Description: long intergenic non-protein coding RNA 1709
Source: RNAcentral
AUCCAUGAGAAGACACAGUGUUCCAUCCAGAGGAUGUAGCAUCAAGGCGUCAUCUUAAAAGCAGAGAAAAGACUCUUACUUGACACCAGAUGCCAGUGCAUUGAUCUUGGACUUCCCAGCCUCUAGAACUGUAAACAGCCCUGGGACAAAGAACAGACUACGGGUAUUGCCUUCUUAAUCAACAAUAAAGUAUUAGUUGGCUUCCAGGCAGACACCACUGACUUUCAAGAGAAAGGCACGGGAGUAAGGAAGUAAAGAAUUCAGGGCAAACGUCGAGCUUUCCUCUGGGCUCCAAUGUAAAAGAAGUGGAUAGCGGCUGACUAGUGUACAUAUUAUGUAUGCAGACUUUGAAGGAAUCCCCCUUGUUUUUAGCUGUUCUUCCAUUGCUCCUGGAGACUCUGAGCUCAGAGAUUUUCUAGGCUCUGAUGGGCAGAGUGGCUCGUUUCCUCCCUGAAGUUUCCUUCAUGCCACAUUCUGGAUUACAACCUCCUCCAAAGAGUGUCAUCUGUCAAUAUAAUGUCAUCUCUUGAUUUCUCUGUUUUCUUUUCUUCACUAUAAUAGGUGCUGCUUGAAAAUACAACAAACUGUCUUCAGAAUACUUUUAUGUGUUGUUGAAAGAAAGCACUGCAGCUAAUAUAGCUACAAAGGAGAAACAGUUAUUCUUAAAUGUCAUCUAUUUGCUGGACCUGAACAGGAAUUCACUAUGGAGCUCAUACAACUACCACCUUCAGCUAUUAAUCAAGGAGUCAUUCAACUGAGAAAGGGGAGAUUGAGAUGUUGAAUCAUUUCUCAUUCUGUGAAGUCUACCAGAAUAACCCAUAAAGCAAAUAUCAACCUAUUUCAAGUGAGUUGUGCAAGAAAAUUAUUUAGAAUAAAAUGAUAGUUUGUUUUUUCAAUUCA